UACGAAGGGGGCGAGCGUUGUUCGGAUUUACUGGGCGUAAAGGGCGCGUAGGCGGCCCUCCUAGUCGCGUGUGAAAGCCCCGGGCUCAACCUGGGAACGGCGCGCGAAACGGGGGGGCUGGAGUUCGGGAGAGGAAGGUGGAAUGCUUGGUGUAGAGGUGAAAUUCGUAGAUAUCAAGCAGAACACCUGCGGCGAAGGCGGCCUUCUGGACGAUGACUGACGCUGAGACGCGAAAGCGUGGGGAGCAAACAGG
RNAcentral lists this ribosomal RNA (253 nucleotides) under uncultured bacterium. Its description in RNAcentral is "partial 16S ribosomal RNA". It matches the Rfam family "Bacterial small subunit ribosomal RNA", at positions 524 to 776 of the family's 1533-position model. The record is from RNAcentral.